This 416-nucleotide ribosomal RNA is filed under the name uncultured Derxia sp. RNAcentral describes it as "bacterial SSU rRNA". It matches the Rfam family "Bacterial small subunit ribosomal RNA", at positions 964 to 1382 of the family's 1533-position model. Lineage: Bacteria; Pseudomonadati; Pseudomonadota; Betaproteobacteria; Burkholderiales; Alcaligenaceae. The record is from RNAcentral.
GAAAACCUUACCUACGCUUGACAUGUCAGGAACCUCGAAGAGAGUUUUGAGGGUGCCCGAAAGGGAACCUGAACACAGGUGCUGCAUGGCUGUCGUCAGCUCGUGUCGUGAGAUGUUGGGUUAAGUCCCGCAACGAGCGCAACCCUUAUCAUUAGUUGCUACGCAAGGGCACUCUAAGUGAGACUGCCGGUGACAAACCGGAGGAAGUGGGGAUGACGUCAAGUCCUCAUGGCCCUUAUGCGUAGGGCUUCACACGUCAUACAAUGGUCGGUACAGAGGGUUGCCAACCCGCGAGGGGGAGCCAAUCCCACAAAGCCGAUCGUAGUCCGGAUUGCAGUCUGCAACUCGACUGCAUGAAGUCGGAAUCGCUAGUAAUCGCGGAUCAGCAUGUCGCGGUGAAUACGUUCCCGGGUCUU